RNAcentral lists this ribosomal RNA (331 nucleotides) under uncultured bacterium. RNAcentral's name for it is "bacterial SSU rRNA". It matches the Rfam family "Bacterial small subunit ribosomal RNA", at positions 28 to 352 of the family's 1533-position model. The record is from RNAcentral.
GACGAACGCUGGCGGCGUGCUUAACACAUGCAAGUGGAGCGACGAACCAGGGCUUGCCCUGGGGCAGAGCCGCGAACGGGUGAGUAACACGUGGGUAACCUACCCCGAUGACCGGGACAACCCGAGGAAACUCGGGCUAAUACCGGAUGUUCUCGCUUCCUCUGAGGGAAGUGAGUAAAGAUAGCUUCGGCCUUCGCAUCGGGACGGGCCCGCGGCCCAUUAGCUUGUUGGUGAGGUAACGGCUUACCAAGGCGACGAUGGGUAGCUGGUCUGAGAGGACGAUCAGCCACACUGGGACUGAGACACGGCCCAGACUCCUACGGGAGGCAGC